CCGGUUCCGGUUCACGCCCAUAAACCCAGGUCUGUUCGGGCGACCCGGCGGCC
This is a regulatory RNA element of 53 nucleotides. It matches the Rfam family "L31-Actinobacteria ribosomal protein leader". The record is from Rfam.